This is an RNA transcript of Sapajus apella (tufted capuchin), 4862 nucleotides long. It is a transcript of the gene named RNA polymerase II associated protein 1, with no coding region annotated. The record is from RefSeq and is a predicted model, not a curated record. NCBI's taxonomy places the organism in Eukaryota, Metazoa, Chordata, Mammalia, Primates, Cebidae. The transcript has 25 exons.
AAAGAAGGAUGCAUGUUCUGAGUGAUGGUAUAGAGCUUACGUAGAAGUAAUAAACCGCCAGCGAAGCAGCACGGCGCUCACCAGCACGCCACUCUGAACAGGCAAAGCCCAGAGUGCUCGCAGCUAAGCCCGGGAGGGGCGGGGCUGGGCUGCGGGGCGGAAGCUGGAAUCCGGCGGCUGCGGAAACGCGACCUCUGCGGGGCAAGAUGGCGGCGCCCCGACAGGCCUGGAGCACGGAUGAAUAAGAGAGAAUCCCCACAGGGAGACACUGCUGGAGAGAGUCGUACUGGGGAGGCAGCUGGAGCAGCAAGAUGCUGUCGAGACCAAAACCAGGGGAGUCUGAGAUGGACCUGCUGCGCUUCCAGAGUCAGUUUCUUGCAGCUGGUGCAGCCCCAGCGGUGCAGUUGGUGAAGAAAGGAAAUAGGGGCGAUGGUGAUGCCAACUCAAACCGGCCUCCGCUACAGGACCAUCGGGAUGUGGUGAUGUUGGACAAUCUUCCAGAUCUGCCCCCAGCUUUGGUCCCUUCGCCCCCGAAGAGAGCCAGGCCCAGCCCUGGCCACCCCCUGCCUGAGGAUGAGGACCCAGAAGAGAGGCUGAGGAGGCAUGAUCAGCACAUCACUGCUGUCUUGACUAAGAUUAUUGAACGAGAUACAAGUUCAGUGGCCGUGAAGCUGCCUGUGCCCAGUGCUGUUGCUUUCCCCCCUGUGUUCCAUCGCUCUCGGGACACACAGGGGAAAUCAGCAACAUCUGGUAAGAGAAGCAUCUUUGCCCAGGAGAUUGCAGCAAGGAGAAUAUCUGAAGCCAGGGUCCCAUCAGCUGGGGAAGUUGUGCCCAAUCUGGGCCCACCAGAGGGUGCUGUGACCUGCGAGACACCGGCUCCUAGGGAACAGGGCUGCCAGCUUCCUGGAAGCAGCCACAGCUUCCAGGGACCUAAUCUGGUCACAGGGAAGGGACUCAGGGGUCAAGAAGCUGAGCAGGAAGCCCAGACUAUCCAUGAAGAGAAUGUAGCAAGACUGCAGGCCAUGGCUCCUGAGGAGAUCCUGCAGGAACAGCAGCGGUUGCUGGCGCAGCUUGACCCCAGCUUGGUUGCUUUCUUGAGAUCUCACAGCCGCACCCAAGAGCAAACAGGAGAGAAGGCCUCUGAGGAGCCCAGGCCAGGAAGACCCUCUGCUAAUGUCACCAAGGAGGAGCCCCUCAUGUCAUCUUCUGCCAGUGAGCCCAAGAAGGGAGACAAGCUAGAGCCAGAAGCCCCAGCUCUGGCACUGCCCGUGACCCUUCAGAAAGAAUGGCUGCACAUGGACACUGUCGAGCUGGAGAAGCUCCAUUGGACCCAGGACUUGCCCCCUCUCCGGCGGCAGCAGACACAGGAGAGGAUGCAGGCUCGUUUCAGCCUUCAGGGAGAACUACUGGCCCCUGACAUGGACCUGCCCACCCACCUGGGUCUGCACCACCAUGGAGAGGAGGCAGAGAGAGCAGGGUACUCCCUACAGGAGCUGUUCCACCUGACCCGCAGCCAGGUGUCGCAGCAGAGAGCACUGGCACUGCAUGUGUUGGCCCAAGUCAUAAGCAGGGCCCAGGCUGGUGAGUUUGGGGACCGGCUAGCCGGCAGUGUCUUAAGCCUCCUUUUGGAUGCGGGUUUCCUCUUCCUACUGCGCUUUUCCUUGGAUGACAGAGUGGAUGGGGUCAUUGCAGCUGCCAUCCGUGCUCUUCGGGCUCUGCUGGUGGCUCCUGGAGAUGAGGAACUCCUCGACAGCACCUUCUCUUGGUACCAUGGAGCUUUGACGUUCCCUCUCAUGCCCAGUCAGGAGGACAAGGAAGAUGAAGAUGAGGAUGAAGAACACCCAGCAGAAAAGGCAAAAAGGAAAAGCCCUGAAGAAGAAAGCAGGCCUCCACCUGACCUGGCCCGACAUGAUGUCAUCAAGGGGCUCCUGGCUACCAGCCUGCUGCCUCGGCUGCGCUAUGUGCUGGAGGUGACCUACCCAGGACCUGCUGUGGUUCUUGACAUCCUGGCCGUGCUCAUCCGCCUGGCCCGGCAUUCCCUGGAGUCAGCCACAAGGGUCCUGGAGUGCCCUCGGCUGAUAGAAACCAUAGUUCGAGAGUUCUUGCCCACCAGCUGGUCUCCUGUUGAGGCAGGACCUACCCCCAGUCUAUACAAAGUACCCUGUGCUACUGCCAUGAAACUACUUCGUGUCCUGGCCUCAGCUGGGAGGAAUAUUGCUGCUCGGCUGUUGAGCAGCUUUGAUCUCCGGAGCCGCCUGUUCCGCUUCAUAGCUGAGGCUCCCCAAGAACUGACCUUGCCCCCGGAGGAAGCUGAGACACUGAGCAUUGAGGCUCUCCGUUUGUGGGCGGUGGCUGCCUCCUAUGGCCAGGGCGGUGACCUUUACAGGGACCUCUACCCAGUGGUGAUGCGGGCCUUGCAGGUGAUGCCGCAGGAGCUCAGCAUCCACCCACCUCAGCCCCUGUCCAUGCAGCGGAUAGCCUCACUGCUCACUCUCCUCACCCAGCUGACCCUGGCAGCUGGCAGCACCCCCACUGAAACCAUCAGCAACUCUGUUGAGGCCAGCCUCUCAGUUACCUCCUUAGUCACUUGGACACAGGUGUCUGGGCUCCAGCCUCUUGUUGAGCUGUGUCUAAGGCAAACCUUGAAGUUGCUGUCCAGACCUGAGAUGUGGAGAGCUGUGGGCCCAGUGCCUGCUGCCUGCCUGUUGUUCCUGGGUGCCUUCUACCAGGCCUGGAGCAAGCAACCGAGCUCAUGCCCAGAGGAUUGGCUCCAGGACAUGGAGCGCCUGUCAGAGGAGCUGUUGCUGCCGCUGCUGAGCCAGCCCGCCCUGGGCAGCCUGUGGGAUUCCCUUAGGCACUGCUCCCCUCUCUGCAACCCGUUGUCCUGUGCGCAAGCCCCUGAAGCUCCCCCAAGCCUCGUGUCACUGGGCUGCUCGGGAGGCUGCCCCCCUCUCAGUCUGGCUGGCUCAGCCUCACCCUUCCCAUUCCUCACUGCCCUCCUCUCUCUUCUCAAUACCAUGGCCUGGAUCCACAAGGGGCUGUGUGGCCAGUUGGCUGCCGUAUUGGCUGCCCCGGGACUCCAGAAGUACUUCCUCCAGUGUGUGGCUCCUGGGGCUGCCUCUCCCCUCACACCGUUCUCUGCGUGGGCCCUGCGUCAUGAGUACCACCUGCAGUACCUGGCACUCGCUCUGGCCCAGAAAGCGGCAACACUGCAGCCAUUGCCAGCCACCCAUGCAGCCCUUUAUCAUGGUAUGGCCUUGGCCCUGCUGAGCCGGCUGCUGCCUGGAAGCGAGUACCUCGCCCAUGAGCUGCUGCUGAGCUGUGUAUUCCGGCUGGAGUUCCUCCCGGAAAGAACAUCAGGGGGUCCAGAGGCAGCUGACUUCUCUGACCAGCUGUCUUUAGGAAGCAGCAGGGCCCCUCGCUGUGGGCAAGGGGCUCUGCUAGCUCAGGCCUGCCAGGACCUCCCCAGCAUCCGCAGCUGCUACCUGACUCACUGCUCACCAGCCCAAGCCAGUCUGUUGGCCUCCCAGGCUCUGUACCGAGCAGAGCUACGGCGACUCCCGACCCUGCUACUGCCUGUGCCUACGGAGCCGCUGCUGCCCACCGACUGGCCCUUCCUGCCACUGAUUCGCCUCUACCACCAGGUUUCAGACACCCCCUCGGGGCUCCCUCCCACAGACACCGUGGGCACAGCCAUGCGGGUCCUGCAGUGGGUGCUAGUUCUGGAGAGCUGGCGCCCCCAGGCCCUCUGGGCUGUGCCCCCUGCUGCCCACCUGGCACGGCUCAUGUGUGUGUUCCUGGUGGACAGUGAGCUGUUCCGGGAGUCCCCAGUACAGCGUCUGGUGGCAGUCCUCCUGGCCCAGCUCUGUCAGCCUCAAGUCUUGCCAAACCUCAACCUGGACUGCCCACUCCCUGGCCUGACGUCUUUCCCGGACCUCUAUACCAACUUCCUGGAUCAUUUUGAGGCUGUCUCUUUUGGGGACCACCUCUUUGGGUCCCUGGUCCUCCUGCCUCUGCAGCGUCGGUUCAGUGUCACUUUGCGCCUCGCCCUCUUUGGGGAACACGUGGGAGCUUUGCGAGCUCUGAGCCUGCCUCUGACUCAGCACAUCAUUUCACCUGUCACAGUUGCCUGUGUCCCUGGAGUGCUACACGGUACCUCCUGAAGACAACCUGGCCCUUCUUCAGCUCUACUUCAGGACCCUGGUUACCGGUGCGCUCCGUCCACAUUGGUGCCCUGUGCUCUAUGCUGUGGCUGUGGCUCAUGUCAAUAGCUUCAUCUUCUCUCAGGACCCACAGAGCUCAGAUGAGGUAAAGGCUGCCCGCAGGAGUAUGCUGCAGAAAACAUGGCUGCUGGCAGAUGAGGGUCUCCGGCGGCACCUCCUCCACUAUAAGCUUCCCAAUUCCACGCUCCCAGAGGGCUUUGAGCUCUAUCCUCAGUUGCCCCCUCUGCGUCAGCACUACCUCCAAAGACUGACUUCAGCGGUGCUCCAAAAUGGGGUAUCGGAGACCUAGGACAGUUGCUAUAGAUGUUCUGUAUCCAGCCUUUCAACAGAUGCCCAGCCAGACAGAGGACAUUGUGUCCUAAUGGUAGGCAGGAGACCAAGGACCACAAGGCUCGCCUUCCUGGGAGCAGGUUGUUUGAGCUGUUUGGGAGCAGAAUGAGCCCUACCAUUACGUCCUGAUAUCUGGGGCUCCUGAAGGUCUGUGCUGGGAGUGAAGAGUGACUUAGCUGUUUAGCUUGUCUUUGGGGACAGGGCAAACUAAAUGCAUCUCUCCUUACCUACUCCCACCCCCUGCCCCGGGCUGAGGUAUAUGAACGCUAUAGUUGUACAUUAAAAUAAAUGUUUUCUAUCUCCUGGAAA